Molecule: ribosomal RNA, 863 nt
Filed under: uncultured Bacillota bacterium
Lineage: Bacteria; Bacillati; Bacillota
Description: bacterial SSU rRNA
Rfam family: Bacterial small subunit ribosomal RNA
Source: RNAcentral
GCUCAGGACGAACGCUGGCGGCGCGCCUAACACCUUUAAGUCGAACGAGCGAGAGAGAGCUUGCUUUCUCGAGCGAGUGGCGAACGGGUGAGUAACGCGUGAGGAACCUGCCUCAAAGAGGGGGACAACAGUUGGAAACGACUGCUAAUACCGCAUAAGCCCACGACCCGGCAUCGGGUAGAGGGAAAAGGAGCAAUCCGCUUUGAGAUGGCCUCGCGUCCGAUUAGCUAGUUGGUGAGGUAACGGCCCACCGAGGCGACGAUCGGUAGCCGGACUGAGAGGUUGAACGGCCACAUUGGGACUGAGACACGGCCCAGACUCCUACGGAAGGCAGCAGUGGGGAAUAUUGCACAAUGGGGGAAACCCUGAUGCAGCGACGCCGCGUGGAGGAAGAAGGUCUUCGGAUUGUAAACUCCUGUUGUUGAGGAAGAUAAUGACGGUACUCAACAAGGAAGUGACGGCUAACUACGUGCCAGCAGCCGCGGUAAAACGUAGGUCACAAGCGUUGUCCGGAAUUACUGGGUGUAAAGGGAGCGCAGGCGGGAAGGCAAGUUGGAAGUGAAAUCCAUGGGCUCAACCCAUGAACUGCUUUCAAAACUGUUUUUCUUGAGUAGUGCAGAGGUAGGCGGAAUUCCCGGUGUAGCGGUGGAAUGCGUAGAUAUCGGGAGGAACACCAGUGGCGAAGGCGGCCUACUGGGCACCAACUGACGCUGAGGCUCGAAAGUGUGGGUAGCAAACAGGAUUAGAUACCCUGGUAGUCCACACUGUAAACGAUGAUUACUAGGUGUUGGAGGAUUGACCCCUUCAGUGCCGCAGUUAACACAAUAAGUAAUCCACCUGGGGAGUACGACCGCAAUGUUAAA